UGAGUAUUUAUUUCUGUUAUUUUAUUUAUUUCAGAAAACUACCUCAAGUACACUACUAUGUGUAUGUGGUCACCCUUGUGCAAUAAACGACUAAAUUCUAUCUGAUGACUCCAACUCCUUGACCAGAGUUCUACAGCGGUCAAUAACAUAUACACCAGCUUUCAGUGGGGCAAUCCCCAACAGAAGUAGUUUCACUUCCCUCUCUAUUAACACUCUCUCUUUCUCUCAGAGGAAGUGGGCAUCUCUGUUACAUUUAGCAGUUUAUUUUAAAGACGCUUGCAGUAAUUUUAAAGUGGACAUUUAAUAAGAGAGAAGGAUGAGGAUCAUCUUGACUUUCACUCUGCUGACGAUUCCUGGUGUCGUGAGCUCCAUGAAUGUGACAGGAUAUUCAGGAGGAGGAGUCAGGAUCACAUGCAAAUAUGAGACAAAAAAUACGGCAAACUCUUUUUGUCGAGGUGAUCAGAGGUCCACAUGCUCUGACCUCAUCGAGACUGAGACUAAAGAUAAAUGGUUUAAUUCUGGAAGAUUCUCUCUGUAUGACAACACAAGUUCAGCAGUCUUGAAAGUGACCAUCAGAAAUCUGAGUGAAGAGGAUUCUGGGACGUACUACUGUAGAGCAAAAGAUUCCUACACUGAAGUGAAUCUGAAGGUUAUAACAGAUCAACAAAACAGGAGUGUGAGAGGAUAUUCAGGAGGAAACGUCAUUAUAAACUUCAAAUAUAAGAUGAAACACAAGAACAAUGUGAAAAUCUGCAGAUCUCUUACGUGUGUUUAUCAGAGAGCUGAAUGUGAACGACUCUGGAGAAUAUAAGAUUACAGUCAAAGUUUCUGAAGACUACAGUGUCUUCUCUCAGUUUAAUCUGGACAUCAGAGACGAUGAUUGUUGUGUGAAGAGCAUCAGUCUAUCAGCUGCUGCAGGAGCAUCUGUGAACAUCAGCUGCAAAUACCCACAAUCCCAUAAAAGAGAUGUGAAGUUUCUCUGCUGGAGAUCUGGAGAUAAUCUCUGUGCUGAAGAGACGUCUGUGAAGGACAGCAGAAGAUGGAGUCCUGAGGGAAAGAUCCAGCUGUAUGAUGACAGAGAAAAGCAGCUCCUGACGGGAAGAAUCAGUCAUGUGACUGAACAACAUUCAGAAUACUGGUGUGGAGUUCAGUCUGAUCAAAGACACAAGAGCUUCAUCACACGAGUCCUGAUCAACCCUACAGAAACAUCAUCAUCAUCAUCAUCAUCAUCAUCAUCACCACCAUCAUCCGCUUCUUCUUUUUCAUCAGUCAAAACUUCACCAAGCACAGGCGUUUCCAGAACUUCUACAUCACUGGCGUCUCCAAACACAUCAGCAGGCUCUUCUCUGAUCAUCCCUCUGGUUUUGUUUUUUCUGGCUCUGAUCACAGCUGGACUCUUAUUACUGUUUUUCUGUAAGAAGCGUCAGUCUCAAGGCGGUGAUUCGUCAUCUCAGACUGGACCAGGAAAACAUGAAGUGGUUUCUCACACUGGUUGUGAUUAUGAGGAGAUUAAAGACACUCACAAACAGUUACCCACAAACCCCUCUGAUUCUUCUAACUGCGUUUACGCUACAGUUCAGAAAGCCACUGGUGACUCUCAGUGCUGCAUCACAUCUGCUGAGGAUCUGAAUUACGCAGUGGUGAAUUUCCACAAGAAAUCUGACUGUCCUGACAGUGUCAGUAUCAGGAAUAAUCAGGAUUACAGUGAAUACACUGCUGUCAAUUAUCUCACUGCUUGACGAACAACAGCAGAUAAUAUAAAUGAGCUGAAUGUUUUAUCACCUUGUCUUUGGCAUUAAGUUUGUGUGUUUGGUGUUUUUUGUUAGUCUUCAGUGAUGCUCCUUUUCCUUAUAUUUUAGUCAGUCUUGUGAAUCAGACUUUUGACUGUUGGCAUGAAGUCUGAUGAAUGUUUAAAUGACAGCGCAGUGUUUUGUUCUGCAGAUGACAAUGAAAUAUUUCAGAAUAUUUCAGACAAAAUUGAGCAGAAUAUACAGCUGUGCUCAAUUUUAUAAAGCUAACAAACUUUAGCACAUGCAGCAACUGUUGUUUUUUUUCCCAGUUCUCAUUUUAACAGAUAACUUAACCUGAUAACUUAAAAAAAAAUCCAGAUGAGGUUGUGAUAUUGUUUUCAAAUGUGAUAUGCAUGAAUUAUGGAAAGCUGAAAUGCACAUAAAAGCACAAUGUCUGAGCUUUAUGAGUGUCCGUUGUGAAGCCUGAGGGCUUUUUAGCUUUUGAUCUAAAAAUGUUUAUUUCAGAAAAUGGACUCCCCACUGAUGUAAUUGUAAUGUAACGGAGACUCGUUCGAGCUCAGCUUGAGAUCCAUAUGUGGCAGGAUAAGUGAUUUAUCUUAUUGGCCUGUUUGGGGUAUGGUUUUGGGCAGACCAAUGAGGUAGAAGCAGCCAUACUAUUUAAGGACCCUUAUUUUGGCGAGUGUGUACGUGUCCUGCUGGUUCUGGGUUCUCCUCUCCCAUUUCCAUUCCUGUUUUUGUUUGUGUUCAGGUAUGUUGAGACUCUGCUGAUGGUGUAAUGAUGUGUUCAGCUCGAGGCUAAUAUGCAGGGGCGCCGUUAGGUGGGGUGAAGAGUACGCCAGGCAUAUGGGCCCCGGACGCUAGGGGGCCCUAAAUCACGACUUUGGAUUUUUUUCUUUGUGUGUGUGUGAUUUUUUUUUUUCUUCUUACAUGCACAAAAACGUUAACCAAUAAUAUUGUAGUAAAAUAAAAUUUAAAUCUGUGAAUUAUAGAAAGAAGUGAACGUGAGCGUGCUCUCUUGUCACUUUAAAAUACAGCGCAUGACGUGUUAACCGCAUAAAAAAGAAUAGGAUAGAUGGAAAGAACGUUCCCAGAACAUUCACUAACGUUCUUUAAAAUUUGUGUAAAGGUUAGUACAAAUUGUUAUAAGAACGUUCCAAAAACAUUAUUUUAAUAACGUCAUUAACUUUCUUGUAACAUUUAGAGAAAACGUUCUUAGAACAUCUUUAGGACGUUAUUUGUACUUGAUGAACGUUCGCAUAAUGUGAAUAGAAAACGUUCUUAGAACAACAUACUCAGAACGUCCUUAUAAUGUUAUUAGUAUUUUCUGAAUGUUUUCAUAAUGUUAUAAUAAAACGUUCUGGGAACAUGUUCUUGGAACAUCUUUAGGACGUUAUUUGUACUUGAUGAACGUUCUCAUAAUGUUGAUAGAAAACGUUCUUAGAACAACAUACUCAGAACGUUCAUAUAAUGUUAUUAGUAUUUAUGUUUUCAUAUCACGCACGGACAUUUCAGGCCUCGCAUUUUGAGCUGAAUCACGAGACUCAAUUCCUGACGCCACUGAAUCGAAUCUUUUUGGAAUCGUUUACUGUCUUGACUCUCGAGUCUGUUCUUUCCCCUCACUGCAGCUCUUGCGCGCGCAGCCGCAGAGAGCGUCCGUUAUUUUCUGAGGCUGAGAAAACGUAAAUGGUAAGCGUGAAUUCGUAAUACUAUUUUAAAUAACAUAUAUGCCAGAACAUAACAUCAGAAUUUCAAUGUUGUAUGUUUUUUUUUUUUCUUUCUUUUUCCAAACUGUUUAUUUUUUAACCUGGCGUUGCUAGACGUUCGUUCCCGUUCCUACUGAAGGCCAAAAGGGCCAAAAACACGUGAAUUUUAACACGUCAACAACACGUUAAAUACGUGUAUUUCAUGCGUGAAAUACGCGUUAAAAAUCUGUUUGAACGGGUCAGUGUCAUUGGCUGCUGAAAACUUGGGUCAAACCAUUUCUGUGAGCUUAAGGGGGUGUACCAUUCAUUUACUAGGAUUCCACCAUUUAACAUGCUAGAUCAGCUUAUUCAGCCCUUUUGUUUUGUCUUUUUUUUUGUAUAACCUAUAGUAAUAUUAUAUUUAAAUUGCCGUUUUAUGAAAAAAUAGAUUUAAUUUUUCCACUUAUUUUUUUAUUUUUUAUUUUAUUCUUUUUUACAACGCCCUUACCCUUACUGACAAUAAAAUGCGGCAUUAUAAUCUCACUGAAUCCGAGUAUGCUCUCUCUCAGCCAUAUGACCUGCAAAGUUUUUUCUCUGGUGUGUGUUGGGGUGGGACACUAGCUGAAGAAGAUUGGGGUGUGACUAGAGAUGAUAGACCUGCACAGUUUUGUUCUAAAGAAAUAGUGCAGGUUAGUCGUACACAAAUAAAAAUUUAAACUGAUAAUAAUGUACGAUACUCCCUCUGUGUUUGUGUCAGAACAUGGGAGCGGAGCGCAAGAUCAAACCCUUGUGACAUACUGGAUCGAAAAUAUGUGAAAUAAGUUUUUUCUAGUCGACUAGUAGUAGUUCAUUUAAGCCAUUAGUUGACUAAUCAUAUUUAUAUUAAUUUAUUUUCUUAAAUACUGGAGAGAAUAAACAAUAAUAAUGAGCGUUUACGUAAUAUCUAUAUAGCAAGCGCACGCAUAAAGCUUGCCAUAAAGAACCGGCAAAAGUUAUGAUUAUGAAUGUGACAAAAAACAGCAAGGAGACAUUUUAAUUGUGUAUUAAUAAACUAAUGUUUUCUGAAUCAGUGUCGGCUGCAAAGAUGUUGCCAUUACUGCCUCUCAUCAUCUCCGUAGAGAUGCACAUUUCAUUCGGAUUAGGAGAGUAGCCUAUUUCUUUUCGUUUUGAAUUAUUUCGUUUAAAAGUAGACUUUUCACGCUUUCUAUAGAUAUAUUGCUCAUGUCUGUGAGGCAAGCAGCCUGAGUUUCGGUUCAUUUAGCCUACAAGACUCGCUCCAGUUCACGCGCCAGUGAUCGCGCCCGCGCCUCCAUGUCAGGAUUAUUUUGUCAGCUAUAUUUGCUUCUUAUUUAUUAAAUACAGGCAAUUGGUUGAAACAUUGAUUAAAAUUAAGAUACAAUUUUUACAAAACGAAAUGCACUUUAAAGAAAUGAUUUCUACAAAACAAAACUUAAUGAAGUGGUCAAAAUCAUGUCUGACCCACUCAAUGUCUCCAGAUAUAUUGCGCAUCUUAUGAUAUUUUGGUCUUAGUCAUGCAGUUCACUUUUUAUAAUCAAAUAGAUGAAAAUAAAAAAUAACAUUAUAACACAUUUUGAGCACUUUUAACUUGGCAAAAGGGCAAUGCACACAGCCAUUCAUGUCGUCACGGAGAAAAUGUGACUUUCGUAGAGCAGUAUAUAUCACGACCUCAUGUCCGCUUUUAAGCAUUCUCCGUGACGACAGAUUUUUAACGCGUAUUUCACGCGUAUUUAACACAUAUUUUACGCGUGAAAUACAUGUCAAAUACACGUAUUUAACGCGUUGAUUUUUCACGCGUAUUCCACACGUAUUUAACGUGUUAAAAUUCACGUGUUUUUGGCCCUUUUGGCCUUCCAUACGCUCCUGCUCUAUUCAAAUCUUGCGCGCGCUGACAGGGUCCGGUAUUUUCAUCAUAGAGAGAUUUACAUCAUAAGAAGGUAAGUGUGAAUUCACAAAAUAAUUGUAAAUAACAUGUUUAUAUAACACAACAUCAAAAGUUUUUCAGUGUUAAAUCAUUUUUUUGUGAACCGCAUUUUCUAGACCGCUGUCUUUCAGUUAUUGCGUGCGCUGACAGCGUCCUGUAUUUUCAGAGGUUUAUAUCAGACGAAGCGAUAAGUGCAAAUUCAUAAAACAAUUUUAAAUAGAGUUGUUACCAAAACAUAAGAUUACGCGUUGUUGAUAUAAAUUGAGUGUGUGUAUGUUGUGCUAACUGGUACUUAGCAACUGCCACACACAUUUAUAAGAAGUUAGCUAUUAGUAAAAUAUUAACGUUUAUUAAUUAAUGCUAGUCUAGCUAGUGUGCUUGAGUUGCUAUCUUAUUUCUCUCUUUGACAAAUCAGCAAACACUUUCUUCUCAACUGUCCACAGAUGCUUCAAAUACAGCACUGAAGGAAGAGCUGCAGCUGACUUGAUUCUUGUGAGGCAGACAAGGACAGAAAAGGCCAGGUGGUAAAUGCUGCUAUUCUUCUCUAAUACUGUUGCUCUUGAAAGAACACAGUCAUCAGUCAGGAUCCUCCAUUCCCAGCUCCAACCACUCAUCUGAAGAACUGCGGCGAUGGGAACCCUUUGAACCACAAGUGGCAGUUUCCACCGGAUGAGAAAGGACAUGACGGAGCAUGAAGAGACUGGACCUGCUAGUUUGGCAGACCCCACCCCACCACACACACACACACACACACACACACACAUUCUUACUGAUUAAGCUUAAUUUAUAUAUGAAUGAGUUUUUUUUUAAGUGUGCAGUUAUAUAAUUACCUUUUGUAAUUCACGUUGUGUUCUUGGAAUGUUUGUACCUUGUGUUAAUCAAAAAAAUAACGUUGAAAGAAUGGUUCAGGGACAUUAUUCUAACCUUAACAUAACAUUUUAACAUUAAAGAAAGUGGACAUUUUAACGUUCUUAGAACAUUACAAAUCAACGUUCUUUGACUGUUUUGUUGUUAAUGAAAUGUAGGUGGAAAUUACAUUGCAGGAACGUUUUGCUAACAUUAAAAAACCUGGAUAUUUUAACGUUCUUUGAACGUUACAAAUCAACGUUCUCGGAACAUUGUAUUGAUGGUAAAAUUUAGAUGGAAAGAACGUUGCAGGAACGUUAUGCUAACCUUAAGAUAACGUUUCAGCAACGUUAAGCAAACUGGACAUUUCCAAGUUUUUAGAACAUUUCAACAUUUACGUGUCGAAAGACCUAAUUCAAGUAGUGCAGGCGGUCUUCUGUGUGGGUGCAAAACCGCAAUUGAAAAACGUAGCUUUAUUCUUCAGAGAAACCUUGAAUCACUAUUCCUGAAUUUGUUUGUGUUGGCUGGGGAUAUCUCUGUAUUCUAUGGGCUCUAUAUAUUAGCCACCAGGGUGAGUUUUUUGAGGCAACCGUUAUUUAUUUAGAACAUUAUUGGAAUGUAUUUAAUUCCUUGGCGACGCUGAUGCACAGGCUAUUUAAGGCUAUUUGUAGGGUAUUGGCUAUGACUAACUUAGCUGGCAAAUGCUAGCCCCCCUCCCUCUCUCUCCGCCGCCGGUCCGGUCUCAGGCCUCAAAUGCAUAAAAUAUGAGCCUUUAAUAGACAUACUAGUGUUUCUUCCGUAAAGACAACGUUGUACUUAUUCAAACAACAAGAUAUUUAUUUGCCGUUGCAAGACGUUCAGCUGCUCUGCUGUGGAACUUCAGUUCGCUGCACUGAGGGGGCGGAGUUAAGAGGUUUGACUGACAGUUUGAGCGGAUCCAAAAAGAUUUUGUCACAAGCUCUUUUUAAUACCUUUAAUUGGCUAAAUAUAUUUGUAAAUCAGACAGACAGACGUAAAGGGUGACCAAUAGCAUUGAUUUAUUGAAGAAAAUAAAUAAAUAAAACAAAACUCCUCCAAAAAAAAGGGCACUUCGGAGUGUAAGGACAAAAAGGGCAUGUGCUCUGCACAGGUUGAGCCCUACCUGUGCACGUGCCUGCUGAUAUGAAUAAAAUUAUAAUUUUAGUCAAAUUAUAAUUAAAAGGAUACCUAUGCAGCUUCCAUGGAAUGUCGUGGAAUGUCUGAGCGGAGUGAACAGUUUUCCAACAAACGGCAACAAACUCUGAAGUAAUCUGACCUGGCCAGGAACCGUUGCUAUGAGGAUAAGGCAAGUCCCCUACAAAAACAGCUGUUUGAUCGCGCCCGCGCCUCACGCACACACAACAAAGCACUUUAAACGUGACAUCUCAGCUUGUUCAUUAUAAAAAAUAAAAUACAGUUAAAAAAAAAAACAUAUAAAAGGUACAAUAGUCCGUAGUGCAAUCCGUGCCAUUCAGCAAUAGCACUGCUCCACUUCACCGAAAGAGAGAGGUAUAACCACCAUGAGAGCAACGCAGGUUUACCUUCAGUUACCUUUCAAAUAAAUUCGUUUUGGCUUGUUUAACUACAUGGUUGUUGUCAUAUAUUAGAAUGAUGGUCUGUAUCUUUAAGAUCUAAGUGCACUAUGCAUUAUGUGACCGGAUGUUAAGUUUAUGAGGUGCGCAUAAGGAAGUAAAUGUUGCCAUCCAGAAAACUGUCAAGUGUGUGACUGAUUUAAUUCAGUAGAGCGUAUGAGAGACAUCUGAGUGCACUAAGAACAGAUAUACAACAUUGGCGACGAGGAUGCAGCCUGGAUGUUAGCACUGAUUGCACGCGAUGGAAAAGUCAGGUAUUCCUGCGUUUGAGUGUUACAAAGAUCCCGCGACUCUUGGUUCAAGGUGGAAAAUGGAAAUUGAAUACUUCCAUACUAUGUAGUGUGUGGAAACAGUGCACCAAGAGUAUGUCAGAAUACAUAAGAGUGCUUCUCAUUUCUUAUUUGUGCAUCCUCACUUCCUUCCCUCGCUCCUCAGCUCCGCCCCUCUCAGGAUGUGAGAGAAAGAUGCAAGGAAAGAAAAUGAGGACGGAGGAAUCGAAGGAAAUCUCAUUUGUAUACUGGAAUAUUCUUGAUCACUCGAGCGUCACUUCAGCUGCGCUCAAGCGAUCUGCUCUUAUGUUGUUGAAGUUUGAUUAUUUGAGAAAUGCGUAAUAAAUAUUAAUAAAUCAAGAUGCUGUUGA
Ctenopharyngodon idella (grass carp) is the source of this 8471-nucleotide RNA transcript. It is a transcript of the gene named polymeric immunoglobulin receptor-like, with no coding region annotated. The record is from RefSeq and is a predicted model, not a curated record. NCBI's taxonomy places the organism in Eukaryota, Metazoa, Chordata, Actinopteri, Cypriniformes, Xenocyprididae. The transcript is spliced from 12 exons.